Molecule: long non-coding RNA, 2016 nt
Organism: Oreochromis niloticus (Nile tilapia)
Lineage: Eukaryota; Metazoa; Chordata; Actinopteri; Cichliformes; Cichlidae
Exons: 2
Source: RefSeq, a predicted model, not a curated record
CUCAGUGGGAUGCUGACUGUGGAUACUGUUUGACCUUCACAGUUCUAACACAUGAAACUCUAAAUCUUCUAUUAUGAGUAUCUUAUGACGACAUUAUACGCAGUGCAAUAGUUUUACCUAGUUUUCCUUCAUUUUGAACCAUCUGCCUGCUUCAGACAAAGGUUGCAGUUUAUGAUGGUGUUUAUUUAAUGUGUCCUAUGUUAUAUUCAUGUUCAUCUCUGAUGCCUUCUUGUGUAAACUACCAGCGAUCUAACUCAUCGGUCAUGUGGUUGUCACAAGAACUGUUUAACUUUUUCAGAAACAUUUGCUUUCUUGCUUUUUAGGCAAGAGUUAAGACAAGUGUUGAAUGGCUGUUUACUCAAUCUGAAGCUACAGCUGGCUUUCGUUUAGUUUAGCCUAGCUUGAAGACAUCUAGCCUGUCCACCUUGCAGAACUGCGGAAACUGUUUGUUAAUCUGACAGUUGAUGUGUAAAGUGGCCAUAUCACAGAUUUACAGGGGGAUUCAUGUGACAGAUUAAAGAUUUAUUGCAGGCUUGUUAAUUAGUAAGCUGACUAAGUGCAGGAAGGCAGUUUCUUUCUUCUUCUUUUUUAAGCUUUGGACAGAGCCACUUAAAUUUGUUCCCUUUUUCCAGUCUGUCGAUUAAGCUGUUAUUUAUAGCCUCAUAUUUGGCUUACAGGCACGAGUAUUUUAGUUUAUCAUUCUUGUCGAAACGACAACAAGAACAAAAACUUAGAUAAACACAAGAUCUGCAGGGUUUUGUGAGAAAAUUCUGAUUACUUUGCAGGAAAAAAGAAAAGAAAAACAUAACGUCUAUAGCUGUGUUUUUGUACGGUGGCCUUGAGAGGUCAAACGUGCUCAAGCUUAAGAAAACGCACAAACCACAGUGGAAGUUGAAUAAAAUACAACAGAAAUAGAAAAGAUGCAGCAAAAGCUAUUUAAAAAUAAAAAGUGACAAGCUAACAGUAAACGGCUAAUAGCAAACACAUAUCUACAGUAUUAUAUGAAUCAUGUGUUUAAACCGCAUAUCGCCUGCAUCUUUUUCUCUCUUGCAACACAGAUGAAUCCUCAAACACCAAAAGUGUUUUGGUUUCUGUUACAUUUGCACCUGGUCCGUCAUGUUAUUGUGUCACAUAAACACUCCUGUUGUAUUUUGUGAGAUUUGAUGUUUUUCUACUUCUUGUCAUGUUUUUUUUUUUUUCUAUAUCCGCUGUGGGUUUCUUUUUUCUAUUUUAGUCAUGUUUCCAUUUGUUGGUGUUUUCUUAACUCACAGUCCGUUUGACCUUUCAGGGCCACCAUAGCUGUGUCCUCUUUGAAACUCUACCAGCUAAUGCUGGUAGCAUAGUUCGUUUGUGAACACACAGCUGUGUAGUUAUUGAGUUCAAUAUGGGGCACAGGUCACUCUUCUUGUUUUCACAUGGAGAGUGUGGUGCUUAUCAUCCAGUGGCCGCCAUGACGCAGUCAGUUGUGGGAGGCAAAUUAGCUUGCUGCAGCUUCUCUUUGCAAACAGUGAGGAGGCAAAGUUCAGGCAUGAAGACCAGGCACCGGUUCCAGCACAGGCUUAAUCAGAUUCAGCCUGUCUCAACAGACACUCUGCAAUGCAGAGAAAUCUGCAUAGUGCUUCUCCUCUGCUUCAAAGGUUGGAUCUCCUAUUAAAUGUGGCCAAACAUCAAAUGAGGUAAUCACAUGUAUAAUUAAUUCCUUUGAGCCAAAAACGUCAGACAGCUGUAAUGCUCAGUUUUGUUUUUUUUACUGUCAGAUGUGUAUGAGGCCAAUGGGAGGGGAUUUCCUUGGUGUUGUAAUCUCUACAGCUCUGGUCUUGAACACAGCUUCAUCACCUAACUGCUCUUCAAACCUUGUUUUUGAUGAGCAGCUAAUUAGAGGAAAGUUGUUUUUUAAAGGGAAGGGAUGGAAGGAAAAGCAGCUUGUUUCAGACAGUGGAUGGACUGAUGGGCUGCACAGCAUAAGGGAAAUGAGAAUUGUUUGGAGAGAUACUCUAGUAAAGCUGUAGCUCCAAA